UGUAAAAUUUCAAAGGUCGAACAGACCCAAUAUUUUAGCUUCUACACCAAAAAUUUAUUUUAAUCCAACAUCGAGGUCGCAAUCUUUUUUUUUAAUAUGAACUCUCUAAAAAAAUUACGCUGUUAUCCCUAAGGUAAUUUUAUCUUUUAAUCAAAAAUAUUGGAUCAUUUAUUCAUAAAUUUAUGUAAUAAAAUAAAAAAAGUUUAUUAAAUUUUUCAAUCACCCCAACUAAAUUAUUAUAAAUAAAUAAUAAAUAAAUACUAAAAUAAUAUUUAUUUAAAAUAAUCAAACUCUAUAGGGUCUUCUCGUCUUUUAAUAAUAAUUAAGCUUUUUUACUUAAAAAUAAAAUUCUACUUAAAUUUAAUAGAGACAGUUAUUUUCUUAUUCAACCUUUCAUUCCAGUUUUCAAUUAAAAAACUAAUGAUUAUGCUACCUUAGCACGGUCAAAAUACCACGGCCAUUUAAAAUUUCAGUGGGCAGGUUAGACCUUAAAUUAUAAGCAAAAGGAC
RNAcentral lists this ribosomal RNA (509 nucleotides) under Cyrtonus plumbeus. RNAcentral's name for it is "partial 16S ribosomal RNA". The record is from RNAcentral. Lineage: Eukaryota; Metazoa; Arthropoda; Insecta; Coleoptera; Chrysomelidae.